CAAUAGCGUAUAUUAAAGUUGUUGCGGUUAAAAAGCUCGUAGUUGGAUUUCUGCCGAGGACGACCGGUCCGCCCUCUGGGUGAGCAUCUGGGACGGCCUGGGCAUCCUCUUGGGGAACGUAGCUGCACUUGACUGUGUGGUGCGGUAUCCAGGACUUUUACUUUGAGGAAAUUAGAGUGUUCACGGCAAGCUUUCGCUUUGAAUACAUUAGCAUGGAAUAAUAAUAUAGGGCGUAAGUUCUAUUUUGUUGGUUUCUAGAACAUACGCAAUGAUUAAUAGGGAUAAUUGGGGGCACUCGUAUUAACACGUCAGAGGUGGAAUUCUUAGAUUGUGUUACGACGAACUACUGCGAAAGCAUUUGCCAAGGAUGUUUUCAUUGAUCAAGAACGAAAGUAUGGGAUCGAAGAUGAUCAGAUACCGU
RNAcentral lists this ribosomal RNA (421 nucleotides) under uncultured eukaryote. Its description in RNAcentral is "bacterial SSU rRNA". It matches the Rfam family "Eukaryotic small subunit ribosomal RNA", at positions 592 to 1018 of the family's 1831-position model. The record is from RNAcentral.